UACGUAGGGUGCACGCGUUAAUCGGAAUUACUGGGCGUAGAGCGUGCGCAGGCGGUUUUGUAAGUCUGUCGUGAAAGCCCCGGGCUCAACCUGGGAAUUGCGAUGGAGACUGCAAGGCUUGAAUCUGGCAGAGGGGGGUAGAAUUCCACGUGUAGCAGUGAAAUGCGUAGAGAUGUGGAGGAACACCGAUGGCGAAGGCAGCCCCCUGGGUCAAGAUUGACGCUCAUGCACGAAAGCGUGGGGAGCAAACAGG
This 253-nucleotide ribosomal RNA is filed under the name uncultured bacterium. RNAcentral's name for it is "partial 16S ribosomal RNA". It matches the Rfam family "Bacterial small subunit ribosomal RNA", at positions 524 to 776 of the family's 1533-position model. The record is from RNAcentral.